Molecule: long non-coding RNA, 327 nt
Filed under: Elaeis guineensis (African oil palm)
Lineage: Eukaryota; Viridiplantae; Streptophyta; Magnoliopsida; Arecales; Arecaceae
Description: long non-coding RNA (EGUI_LNC052289)
Source: RNAcentral
AUUCGAAAAGACUCCGACACGCGCGCAAUUAAUGCCCAAAAUAUCUGGGGGCCGCAGUGCGCGGGAUUCGAGGGGACGGCUUCGGCUGUACCCAUCUCUCUGUACUUCCUUCGUUCGAAAUUCAAACUCGGAAGUAGGGGGAUUGGUGUUGGGUAUAAAAUACCCACAGCCGAAGUCCUCAACAGAAUCAACGAUUCCGCCCACGAUGUCGACCUCAAGUAGACUCCGCCCGGACUCCUACGGGAGCCGGGCUCCGUCCUCAACGUCAACUGCUGGUAAGCCCCGUCCGGACUCCUACGGGAGCCGGACUUCGCUUUAACUUUAAUU